AUGUAUAGGAUCUACCUAGUAGUACGGAAUAAUUGUUGGAAACGGCAACUAAUACCGUAUACGCCCUACGGGGAAAAAUUUAUUGCUAUUAGAUGAGCCUAUAUUAGAUUAGCUAGUUGGUGGAGUAAUAGCCUACCAAGGCAAUGAUCUAUAGCUGAUCUGAGAGGAUGAUCAGCCACACUGGAACUGAGAUACGGUCCAGACUUCUACGGGAGGCAGCAGUGGGGAAUAUUGGGCAAUGGGCGAAAGCCUGAUCCAGCCAUGUCGCAUGAGUGAAGAAGGCCUUUGGGUUGUAAAGCUCUUUUAGUGAGGAAGAUAAUGACGGUACUCACAGAAGAAGUCCUGGCUAACUCCGUGCCAGCGGCCGCGUUAAUACGGAGAGGGCUAGCGUUAUUCGGAAUUAUUGGCCGUAAAGGGCGCGUAGCCUGAUUAAUAAGUUAAAAGUGAAAUCCCGAGGCUUAACCUUGGAAUUGCUUUUAAAACUAUUAAUCUAGAGAUUGAAAGAGGAUAGAGGAAUUCCUGAUGUAGAGGUAAAAUUCGAAAAUAUUAGGAGGAACACCAGUGGCGAAGGCGUCUAUCUGGUUCAAAUCUGACGCUGAGACGCGAAGCCGGGGGCAGCAAAACGGGAUUAGAUACCCUGGUAGUCCACGCUGUAAACGAUGAAUGUAAAAUAAGGGAAGUUUUACCUUUCUGUAUAACAGCUAACGCGUUAAACAUUCCGCCUGGGGACUACGGUCGCAAGAUUAAACUCAAAGGAAUUGACGGGGACUCGCACAAGCGUGCAGCAUGUGGUUAAAUUCGAUGUACGCGAAAAAACCUUACCACUUCUUGACAUGAAA
RNAcentral lists this ribosomal RNA (839 nucleotides) under Wolbachia endosymbiont of Balclutha brevis. Its description in RNAcentral is "bacterial SSU rRNA". It matches the Rfam family "Bacterial small subunit ribosomal RNA", at positions 113 to 991 of the family's 1533-position model. Lineage: Bacteria; Pseudomonadati; Pseudomonadota; Alphaproteobacteria; Rickettsiales; Anaplasmataceae. The record is from RNAcentral.